Molecule: long non-coding RNA, 227 nt
Filed under: Elaeis guineensis (African oil palm)
Lineage: Eukaryota; Viridiplantae; Streptophyta; Magnoliopsida; Arecales; Arecaceae
Description: long non-coding RNA (EGUI_LNC076497)
Source: RNAcentral
CACAUAUCAUAGUCGAGUGCUUGAAUGAAUAUUUUCAUUCGAACUUUCCAAUAGGUAUAAUUAGACCCAUUGAAAAGUGAAGGUCGGUUGGUGGAUUGCCUCUCGGCUAGAGAAGUGCCGACAUGAGUUGCCAUAGAUCUUUGGCUCCUUGAUUGUUUAGAUCAAAGAAGGGCUAGAGCACCGGGCUCUGAUACCACUUGUUGCCCAGCUAUGCAACCCAAGAGGGG